ACACCUGGCACCCCUCCUCUGCCCCAACCCCUUGCCCUGAACCCCUUCCUGCACACCGCACUCCCUUCCCCGGCCCUACGUUCAUGGCCCUGCGUACACUUUUCCCACUCAGAUGUGGCCCUCGGGCCAAAAAGUUUGCCCACCCCUGGUUUAGAUCGUGGGCUUCUUUGAAUUUUUGUUUAUUGCCAGUGGCCUCUCCGUUACUUUUACUCAAAAUAACCGUGACAAAAAUCUUAAGCUUAUAAUGAGUUAUGUGCAGGUCAUUAGGCUAAAUAGAUCUCAAAUAAUGAAUGACAGAAAGUUGGAUUUGAUGCCCUUUGAGUUGAAGCUCUUACUCCAAUACUUUGUGGGAAUAUGUUCAGAUCACAGCAACUUCCAUUCCACCCAUUGGCCACGUAGGCGGUCUCAUCAGAGCAAUGGGAGAUACAACGACAUGGGGACUGAAAUGUCCUGAAAACCCCAAUAUGUUGAAAAUGUGAACUUUGUAAUGUGGUUUCCUGUGCUAUAUCUAAUUCUGUAAAUAAAUGGUGCAUUUCCGGAUAAGAUUCUUCGCUAGUGCCAAUCAGUUUAGCUCCAGUGAAGUCAGCUCUAUUUAGGGAUAGAUCCUCUGGUAGUGUAAAUGGACCUUGCCACAUUGACUUUAGUGGAGCUAUGCUGAUCUUAGUGGCCCAUAGAACGCUACUGUGUGGAAAAGGCAUUCUGUGUAAAUCAGUUCCCAUACCACAAUUUAUAUGGAGCUAAACUUACGGAGCAACGAGUAUAUUUUAGAAGUGUUUUAUGUUUUGCUGUUUUUCAUGUAAUCACAGGAAAAUGGCAGGAAAGAAGAAAGAAGUUCAACUACAGGCAGUAUUAACCAAUCAAAGUCAAUGGGAUGAAAUGUUGCUGACUAAAGGUGUAACAGCUUGUGUUCAGAGGGCCCUGGACCUCAAAUCACCUGCCAACCAAUUUUGGAUCGAGGCGAGAGGAACACAGGAUUGGAUUGGAUGCAGAACCAGCAGUAGCUGGUGUCCUACAGUACCUGGAGUCUCCCUGUGCCCACUGGGCUGGCUUCCAGCUGGGGCUUUAUCCACACCUUCUGGGCCCACCUGACAAUUUAAGUGAGAAGGCCGGGAUGCAGCCCACAUUCACUGGACCUCAGUGGAUCGGAACACUAAACGGUUCUUGCCCGAGUCUCACUGAGUGAGCCACGCCCACCAAGCUUCCACGAUCGGAACUGACCAGGUUGAUGUAAAUAGCUCAUGAUUAGACAGCAGACAGCUGGUCUCGACCCAAGUUAUUGCAGCAACCGUUAGGUUCCGGACCUUGUAUUACUGAAGGUGGUGUCUAGCAGGAGGAACACAGAACCUGAUCGAGCAGGUGGAACAGCUCAGAACACUCCUUGAUGAUCUGCAGAUACGUGAAUAGUUGGAAUAGCCAAGACAGCGUCUGUUCAUCAUUUUAAAAAGCAACAACAAAAACCCUGUUAUUUUGUAAGUUAAGUUUGAAGAUGAAAACUGUUGUUGGAAUAUGUAAACAUGUUUGUGUGCAUGAUGUGGACCACCAUUUUAAUUUAACUUAGGCUACUGGAGAACCAGAAGAUGGUAACAGCUUUCAGUCACUAGAUUCCUAGGCUGAAUUAGAGCCAGCACGCUAGAAGUAAAUGGCUCCAUAUCCCAUUACCUUAUCCUUUCAAUCUUCUAUCUACAGAAUUUUACCUAAACCCCUCUAUUUUUGGGGGUGGGAAAGAGCUGUGAACUAUUUUAGGACCAAAUUUCUAAAAGGUAUAGGUCCACUUGCACAUGCUAAAUAUAUAUGUAUGCAUGUGAUGUAUUUAUAGGUAUGCAGUUAUGCACACAACUAGGUAGAUGGAUGUCCGACUUCCUGUUCUCAAGCAGUUACUCAGUUUGCACACAUCACUACAAUAACUGCAUAUAAAUUGUGUGCAUGCAUGUAUUGCAUGAAAUCCCACCUCUUAAAAAUAUGAGCCUUAAAGUAAAAUAAACUUUAUAACAAUGGUUUACAGAUUAGAAUAGUAGAUUGGGCUCAGCUUCCUAUUGUUCAGGAACUUGGUUUCAAUAAUUUAGUUUAACUAGCAGUUCUUAAACAUAUUCCUCAUCAUAUAUACAAUAUCCUAUGUCAGUGGUUUCAAACUUUUUCAUUUGCAGACCCCUAAAAUGCUUUCAGAUAAACUCCAAACUUUUACUAAAAACUAGUUAAAGCAUUCCUGGAAUGCAGAAAGUAAUAGACAGAUAAACUCUAAUAUUAUAUUGAAUAAGUUACAGUCCAGAAUCAGAAAAAGACUUUCCUUCCAUUCCUUUUAAAUAUACAUUUAAAAAAUUUUAAAAUAGUAAAAAAUGUACAACUGACAGAAUUUCAAAUCAAAUUUGCAGAACUGACAACUUUGAUAUACAGUACACUAAAAAGACUAAGAACGUUUAAUAAGCAUUAAUUACUCUGUCUUUUCACUCUCAACUUAAAUUAAUGUUCCAGUAUAUAUUAUUAAUAUUUCAAUAGAAGCUUUGUACAGGUAUGCUUUUUUGUUGUUACAAAAAGGAUAAUUAUACCAUUGCAUGCCUAUAGUUUCAUUGCAUUACUCAGGAAUAAUAUUAUCACUAUCUGUUGUAAUUUGUAACUGAAAUACAAAGAAGAAAUGUUACCUCUUAAUGUGUUAUUAUCCCGAUUUCUUUUCUUCCUUCUCUGUUUCAUACAUCGCAUGGUACGUUGCGUUCAAUCUCACCGUAAAAAGAAAACCACAUAUAUUAGCAGCCUUCCUGUAGGCAUACUCUCGCUUUGUCUACCAACCUACAGGAAGGAGCUACUAGUGUUAUUUUCCUAACCACACACUAAAGACUAAAAGUUUCCAAAUGCCGUAGAGUAGCAUUUUGUGUGAACUUGUGGGAGGUACAGGUCUGAGCGGGU
This is a long non-coding RNA of Dermochelys coriacea (leatherback sea turtle), 2898 nucleotides long. RefSeq lists it as uncharacterized. The record is from RefSeq and is a predicted model, not a curated record. The transcript is spliced from 6 exons. NCBI's taxonomy places the organism in Eukaryota, Metazoa, Chordata, Testudines, Dermochelyidae.